Molecule: ribosomal RNA, 498 nt
Filed under: uncultured bacterium
Lineage: Bacteria
Description: partial 16S ribosomal RNA
Rfam family: Bacterial small subunit ribosomal RNA
Source: RNAcentral
AUUGAACGCUGGCGGCAUGCCUUACACAUGCAAGUCGAACGGUAACAGGUCUUCGGAUGCUGACGAGUGGCGAACGGGUGAGUAAUACAUCGGAACGUGCCUAGUAGUGGGGGAUAACUACUCGAAAGAGUGGCUAAUACCGCAUGAGAUCUACGGAUGAAAGCAGGGGAUCGCAAGACCUUGUGCUACUAGAGCGGCCGAUGGCAGAUUAGGUAGUUUGUGGGAUAAAAGCUUACCAAGCCGGCGAUCUGUAGCUGGUCUGAGAGGACGAUCAGCCACACUGGGACUGAGAAACGGCCCAGACUCCUACGGGAGGCAGCAGUGGGGAAUUUUGGACAAUGGGCGCAAGCCUGAUCCAGCAAUGCCGCGUGCAGGAUGAAGGCCUUCGGGUUGUAAACUGCUUUUGUACGGAACGAAAAGCCCCGGGUUAAUACCCUGGGGUCAUGACGGUACCGUAAGAAUAAGCACCGGCUAACUACGUGCCAGCAGCCGCCGUAA